Molecule: ribosomal RNA, 423 nt
Filed under: uncultured bacterium
Lineage: Bacteria
Description: bacterial SSU rRNA
Rfam family: Bacterial small subunit ribosomal RNA
Source: RNAcentral
AAGACCUUGCGCUUUUGGAGCGGCCGAUGCCUGAUUAGCUUGUUGGUAAGGUAAAGGCUUACCAAGGCUUCGAUCAGUAGCUGGUCUGAGAGGACGGCCAGCCACACUGGGACUGAGACACGGCCCAGACUCCUACGGGAGGCAGCAGUGGGGAAUUUUGGACAAUGGGGGAAACCCUGAUCCAGCCAUGCCGCGUGAGUGAAGAAGGCCUUCGGGUUGUAAAGCUCUUUCAGCCGGAACGAAACGGUUACGGAUAAUACCCGUGACUACUGACGGUACCGGAAGAAGAAGCACCGGCUAACUACGUGCCAGCAGCCGCGGUAAUACGUGGGGUGCGAGCGUUAAUCGGAAUUACUGGGCGUAAAGCGUGCGCAGGUGGUUUUGUAAGUCAGAUGUGAAAGCCCCGGGCUCAACCUGGGAACU